GCCCCCAUCGUCUAGAGGCCAAGGACGCUGCGUUCUCAGCGCAUAAACACCGGUUCGACUCCGGUUGGGGGCGCCA
RNAcentral lists this transfer RNA (76 nucleotides) under Verrucomicrobiaceae bacterium. RNAcentral describes it as "tRNA-Glu". It matches the Rfam family "tRNA". From Rfam's summary of the family: Transfer RNA (tRNA) molecules are approximately 80 nucleotides in length. Lineage: Bacteria; Pseudomonadati; Verrucomicrobiota; Verrucomicrobiia; Verrucomicrobiales; Verrucomicrobiaceae. The record is from RNAcentral.